This 289-nucleotide ribosomal RNA is filed under the name Escherichia coli. RNAcentral describes it as "partial 16S ribosomal RNA". It matches the Rfam family "Bacterial small subunit ribosomal RNA", at positions 128 to 419 of the family's 1533-position model. Lineage: Bacteria; Pseudomonadati; Pseudomonadota; Gammaproteobacteria; Enterobacterales; Enterobacteriaceae. The record is from RNAcentral.
GCCUGAUGGAGGGGGAUAACUACUGGAAACGGUAGCUAAUACCGCAUAACGUCGCAAGACCAAAGAGGGGGACCUUCGGGCCUCUUGCCAUCGGAUGUGCCCAGAUGGGAUUAGCUAGUAGGUGGGGUAACGGCUCACCUAGGCGACGAUCCCUAGCUGGUCUGAGAGGAUGACCAGCCACACUGGAACUGAGACACGGUCCAGACUCCUACGGGAGGCAGCAGUGGGGAAUAUUGCACAAUGGGCGCAAGCCUGAUGCAGCCAUGCCGCGUGUAUGAAGAAGGCCUUC